CUUGAGGGAGCCCAGCCGGAGGGGGUGGUCCUGCAGGCGGUUCUGGCCGUAGGCGGCGAUGACGGCCUGGGCCUC
RNAcentral lists this antisense RNA (75 nucleotides) under Streptomyces dysideae. RNAcentral describes it as "Streptomyces sp. RV15 ASpks TB sRNA". It matches the Rfam family "ASpks TB sRNA". The record is from Rfam by way of RNAcentral. Lineage: Bacteria; Bacillati; Actinomycetota; Actinomycetes; Kitasatosporales; Streptomycetaceae.